Molecule: ribosomal RNA, 468 nt
Filed under: uncultured bacterium
Lineage: Bacteria
Description: partial 16S ribosomal RNA
Rfam family: Bacterial small subunit ribosomal RNA
Source: RNAcentral
GACGAACGCUGGCGGCGUGCUUAACACAUGCAAGUCGAACGGUGAAGCUCCAGCUUGCUGGAGUGGAUCAGUGGCGAACGGGUGAGUAACACGUGAGCAACCUGCCCCUGACUCUGGAAUAAGCGCUGGAAACGGCGUCUAAUACUGGAUACGAGAAGGGUCCGCAUGGGCACUUUCUGGAAAGUUUUUCGGUUGGGGAUGGGCUCGCGGCCUAUCAGCUUGUUGGUGAGGUAAUGGCUCACCAAGGCGACGACGGGUAGCCGGCCUGAGAGGGCGACCGGCCACAAUGGGACUGAGACACGGCCCAGACUCCUACGGGAGGCAGCAGUGGGGAAUAUUGCACAAUGGGCGAAAGCCUGAUGAAGAGACGCCGCGUGAGGGAUGACGGCCUUCGGGUUGUAAACCUCUUUCAGCAGGGAAGAAGCGAAAGUGACGGUACCUGCAGAAGAAGCACCGGCUAACUACGUG